CCUACGGGUGGCAGCAGUGGGGAAUAUUGGACAAUGGGCGAAAGCCUGAUCCAGCCAUGCCGCGUGUGUGAAGAAGGCCUUCGGGUUGUAAAGCACUUUCAGUGGGGAAGAAAGCCUUGGGGCUAAUACCCUCGAGGAAGGACAUCACCCACAGAAGAAGCACCGGCUAACUCCGUGCCAGCAGCCGCGGUAAUACGGAGGGUGCGAGCGUUAAUCGGAAUUACUGGGCGUAAAGCGCGCGUAGGCGGUCUGAUAAGCCAGUUGUGAAAGCCCCGGGCUCAACCUGGGAACGGCAUCCGGAACGGUCAGGCUAGAGUGCAGGAGAGGAAGGUAGAAUUCCCGGUGUAGCGGUGAAAUGCGUAGAGAUCGGGAGGAAUACCAGUGGCGAAGGCGGCCUUCUGGACUGACACUGACGCUGAGGUGCGAAAGCGUGGGUAGCAAACAGGAUUAGAUACCCGAGUAGUC
RNAcentral lists this ribosomal RNA (465 nucleotides) under Vreelandella stevensii. RNAcentral's name for it is "partial 16S ribosomal RNA". It matches the Rfam family "Bacterial small subunit ribosomal RNA", at positions 338 to 795 of the family's 1533-position model. Lineage: Bacteria; Pseudomonadati; Pseudomonadota; Gammaproteobacteria; Oceanospirillales; Halomonadaceae. The record is from RNAcentral.